This 85-nucleotide transfer RNA is filed under the name Pseudoalteromonas sp. NBT06-2. Its description in RNAcentral is "tRNA-Leu". It matches the Rfam family "tRNA". Rfam says of the family: Transfer RNA (tRNA) molecules are approximately 80 nucleotides in length. Their secondary structure includes four short double-helical elements and three loops (D, anti-codon, and T loops). Further hydrogen bonds mediate the characteristic L-shaped molecular structure. tRNAs have two regions of fundamental functional importance: the anti-codon, which is responsible for specific mRNA codon recognition, and the 3' end, to which the tRNAs corresponding amino acid is attached (by aminoacyl-tRNA synthetases). tRNAs cope with the degeneracy of the genetic code in two manners: having more than one tRNA (with a specific anti-codon) for a particular amino acid; and 'wobble' base-pairing, i.e. permitting non-standard base-pairing at the 3rd anti-codon position. The record is from RNAcentral. Lineage: Bacteria; Pseudomonadati; Pseudomonadota; Gammaproteobacteria; Alteromonadales; Pseudoalteromonadaceae.
GCGGAAGUGGCGGAAUUGGUAGACGCGCUGGAUUUAGGUUCCAGUAUCGUAAGAUGUGAGAGUUCAAGUCUCUCUUUCCGCACCA